GGUGGAGAUUCCUGCACACCUGAAGCCUUCUGAAGUGUUACACCAUCAUUACGCAAAGGGAGCCUCAGGAACAAGGGGAGGAACAUGCUGGUGUCUGGACAGCCCUGAGAGGUAGGGAGCAGCACCCCAGGAGCCCUGCAAGGACCAGAAAUGUCAUUCCCUUCAGUCUCUGUCUACAGGCAAACCAAGCACAGCAGCUAAGAUGCUUUUUAGUGAGCUGAAUUACCACAUUUGCAGGCAGCUUUAAGCUUCUGUCUUCUUUAUAGCAUGGAUUUGGAUCCCAGACAUCCUACAGUGCCCAGCUCCUGCUGGUGCAAAUGGAGCCAGCUACUCCUGCCCAGCUCCAUCAGCAGUGGCCUCGGGACAGUUCAUCUCAAAGCAGCCUGUCCCCAUGACCUGUGUGACCACUGCAGUCCCUCCAAGCAAGACAGGGGAAAACACAACGUGCCAGAGGUUGGUGGGGUGCUCAUCCAAGCAGAAGUGGCUCCAGCACCAUGCUCUGCUCUGACCUUCCCAGGCUCAGAUGUUCUCUGUGGCCAUCAGCCCACCUGAGAUAACCUUUACCUACUGUGCAACGUGGGGAUGUUGGAUGAGUGCCCAGGAUAUGCUCACCCAACAGACACUGCUCCCAGAACUUGUCUGCACAAGGAGAUACACCAAUUCAUCUCAUCUAAUUCUGGAAGGGGUUUGGGUUGGACAGCUGUCAGCUCUUCCCUGCUGUCACACAGUGGAUCCAAGGCCCUCUUGUUAGAAGGGAAACUUGCUGCUGUGUUUCACCUUGCUAAUAUCCACAUCAGGGCCUUUGCCAAGCCUGAGAGAUAAAAGAAGAUGAGGAUCAAAUCUUCUGGAGGCACGGAGGAAUGUAGUUCCUGAAUCCCAAGAACUGAAUAGCAUUGUGGAUUGGCUCUUCCCAUUCCCUGUGCCCCAUCUGAAGCAUAUGGUCAUUCUCCAGCUCAGUAUGCUCUGGGGAACCUGAGAUAAGACAAGAAGGCUUCUGGGUCAACCUUGGUCUUGUGGAGGGGAACAGAUGGGUUUUCUGGUGGGACUGCCAUCCUGAAAAGCAAUUACACAUGAAGCCAUCCCCAACAGACUGCGAUGUGCUCUGGCCCAGGGCCCAAGUCAUCGUGGGUUUGGAUUUUAAUUAGGGCCGUUUUGGGUAUCUGUUCUCUACUUCCCUCCAGAUAAUGAUUUAAUUAUUACAGACAUGUCUUCAAAUUAGCAGCUUCCUCAGUGGAUUAUUCAGCUGGGAUCUCCUCAGUUACAGUGCCCAUCUCACUGCCAUUAAAAGAAGAGGCAGGAAAACAUGAAGGCAAACUGAAACUUCCUGGAAAGAGAACCCACGCAGGCACCCACCUGCAGAGCAGGGGCCACUGUCAGGCUCUUCUCCUCCCUUUAUCUCACAGUGGAUUAAAAAGCCUAGCUCCAAAACACAUGCUGAGUGCCUGCAUGAUGCAAGACCAUGGAUGGCAUAACAGCUGCUUGAGUCCACCUGUCACUGAGCAUGGUUAUCAGCAGACCACAAGCAGGUGGGGAGUCCAAGGGUGAGAAGGAGAGAGUGACAGACUGGAAGGUAGGACCACAAACCACUUCUUUCUAGUGGGAUGGCAUGUGUGGUGAUCUCCAAGGAGAAAGCAGCUAGGGAGACAUGGUGAGGACCCCAUUUAUUGCUCAUGUUGGAGCCUCCCAGCCAGCUCCGUGUUGGGAAUUACUACAGGGGCAAGGGGAAGGCAGGUGAUAGUGGGAGCAAGCAGAAGAUAAGGUGUAAGUCCUGACAGCAAGCCAGACCUACUCCUUGUGCAGUAGAGCCAGGCAGGGACUGUGCCAGGCUCCAGCAAGGCUCCAGGCCUCAGGGAUGAAGGCUGGAAGAGAACAGCAGCACUGGUUGCAAAAAAGAAAUACCAGACACAGGCAGAAUGAAGGACACAGCACAGUGAUGGUGAAACCUUCAGAGUGUAGCUUGACAACAUGCCUUGGUGCCAAUGAGCAGUAACUCAUCCACAGAACAGCCAAGUUCUGACUAAAUCACCAGGAGAUGAGCUGCUUCCCUGCUGCAAGAGCUGAGCACGUUCAUGCUGUGGGGCUGCAGCAAGAUCCUUAGGGCCUGACAUCACCCCUCUCCCCAUGGCAGGCCAAGGAAGAGGAGGAUGUGCACGUGUGGCUCUCCAUCCCUCGCACAAAGCUCCAGCCACGCACUGAGACUCUCUUUGGUCCUUUUCUACCACAGCGUGUGAGCUUCUGACUGCAGAAGCUGCAGGAUUUCCCUUGCUGGCAGUGCUGGGACUCCCAUGCUACAGGCAGGGAAGUGGAUUUUGCAGCAGUUGCUGGAGCAGCACUGCUGCCUCUCCCUGCUGCAAUGGGAGCUGGGGCCACUGUGGGAAGUCUCUGCUGGCUCCUCUGUCACUGCAGCUCACAGCACAGCAGCUUAAAGCAGCUGCAGCUCUUGCCGCUGCAAGAGGAGUCCUCGAGCACAGCCAUGCGUGAGUCUGCAUCUGGAAACACAGCCUGGGUGUCUCAAAAUGAGCCCAAUGCCCUAUUUGUGAGGCUACAGCAGCUCUCCUCCCCUGGUUCCCUGCCUGAGCACACAAAGCAGCUGGGCAGUAAAGCAGCUGGGUGAUGCAGCCUGUUUCCCAGCUAACAGGGCUUGGGACACAAAGGCCAGGUAUUGUCUGUCUGUCCACCUCUCCUGUGGUCACAGGCCUGGGAGAGUUCUGAGCUCUCUAUCCCAUUGGAUUUGCUAUGAGACCAUCAUGCCUGACAGUGAUGGGGUGAGGGAAAAGGCUGCGCCAACACGAGCCAUUUCAUUUCCUUGAGAAACUGGGCUAAAGAAGAUGGGAGUGGAAGUGACACAAAAGAGAGGAUAUUCAUUAACCCGAUAAAACCUCCUGGAAUAUGAUAACAGCAGCAAUAACAGACACCUCCCCUCUGGCUGAGGACAAAGAAAGGCUUCCUAGUUAUGAAGAACAGGAAGAAAAUUGGAGUGGAAGAAAGGAAAUGAUGUCUGAAAUGUCAGAUGUUAUUAAAAAGCCUUUAUCGAGGGAGAAACGAUGAGCGAUGAGAGUGGGGAUACGAUGGGAAGCUGAACAGCUGGAGAGUGAGUGGGAUGGAGAGGAAGCAUCCAAGCAGGGCUCUGCUGGCCCCUGGCAGCCACACAGUGCCUGUGGCAGAGGGCCAACUCCUGGAGGCACACACAGGGCUGUGCAGUGAGGAGGGGAGGGCAGCAGCCAUGGGGAGCCCCAUGCGGAUCGAUGAGCCCCACAAAGCUGCUGUGAAUGUCUCUGUGCUUUGAGGCAUCCUGUGCAGCAUCACCAGCCCUGCUCCCUGCCACCCGUGGGCCUCACCACUGCCAUAACGUGAUGUCCCUGCUCUGCACGUGGAUGCUACAUUGCUUUCUCAGGGCACCAUCAGCACAGCCAGGAACCGACAACCUACCAAAAUCAUGAGCUGAGAAGCAAAUCAAGCAGCCCCUCCAGCUUCCCCAUGAGCAGUGGGACCAAGCCCCAGGUGCUGUCCUACCACCCCAGGAGCUGAGCUGCAGCACACACAGCCAGGCAGAGCCCCAGCUGGUGCCCACACCAGGUGAGCGUGGCCUCAUGUGGCCCCGGCUUUCCAGGCUGAUGGCCAAAGAGAGGAGAAUGUGGGCUGGAUCUGUGUCACGCAGCAUUGCGGGCUCUCCGGCUCCCGCAGCAGAGUGAAGGCAGCUCCAGCCCAGGAGGCUCAGCCAGAGCUGCUCUGCUCUGGUUCUCCCAGCACAGACACAAAGUCCCUCUCCUGCUCACACUGCUGAGAUGAGCCGGCCCUCCCCAGCCUCUUUGGCGUCUUGCAGGCAGCGAAGCGAGGAGAUCUGCAGGCAGGAGUGGCUCAGACUCCCCACUGCAGCCUCCCUGCUUGGCAUCGCUCUCUGCUGCUUCCCUGCGAGCUGUGUUUGUGGGUAACACCCCCAAGGGGAGACCCUGACAUGCACAAAGCCAGCUCCCAACCAGCGAGCACUGGAAGCAGGCACACGCAUGCAGAGCCUCUCCUCGACUCUGCUUUAAUAUGCAUGCAAUAUGGCCAGAGCUGCUCUGCAUCUGACAGUAUUCACUUUUCAGAAGAGAAGCAGCAGCAGCCAGCAAACAGCACACAUCUCCCUGCCAGAGCAAGGUCGGGGCAGGCGGGGUGCUGGGAGCUGCGGCUGCACAUGGGAUGGACUCUUUUGAACUCAGACAUCAUCUUCAGAGCACGAUAUGGAGACAGCAAAGCUGUCACAGCGGCUGCUGUCAUUUCAGCAUCCUCUCAGAGCUGCCAGUCUGCACCAGCUGCAGCCUGCCCUGGGUACCAGCGUUACCAGCACUCAUCCCGUGCCCACGAGCCCUCCCAGAUGCACCACGUGUGGCAUCGUGUGUGCCUGGAAGCUCCUUCUUCCAGAGGAUCAGCCUCAACCCAAGCUGGUGGUGAGUGGGGCAGAGGCAGACUGCAGAUCACCGGAGCACGACCUGCAGCACCUCGUGCUUUGGGGAGGAGGGGCUCAGGCAAACCCCCACGUGUGCCAUAACUGCUGCUUGAUGGAGACAGAUUUCUCUUUCCUCCUCCCCAGAAUCACAACUUGGAUGAUAAUCCCUGGAUUGCUGCCAUCGCUUUGGGGCUGCCAUAUUAACAAAAAAAAAAAGGGUUCUCAUUUGAUCAUCUGCUUGCAGUUAAUUUAGUUACAAGAGUUUUGCAGUGAUCAUUUUUGGAGAUGGCAAUCGGAGCAUCUCUGCGAGCAGAAAUGGCUAUCGUUCCCCAUCUCCUUGGUGUUUACAUGCAGAUAAAGACAUUUUGUCUCCUAAAAUGAAGCCAAAAUCAGCCCCAGCACUGCCGAUCGUUGCACGGCUCUUCACGAGCGCCGGUGUUGCUUUCAAAUCACACGUCGUCAAUAAAUCUAAUUCUAACUGCCCUGCAGCAAAUGGCACCAGUCUGCACUUUGAGAUCUCUCCCACACAUACUCCACUGCCUAAAAAUACCAGCGCUUUAAUUCUCAAAUGACUCGGCUAUUGCACAGCCACCUUCUUUUUCUUUAAUGUACACUGCUGCAUGGCUCGGUGCAGGACAUCUGUUACACUACAAAGGGUUUGGGGAAGCAGGGACCAGGAGGGGAAACUCAUCCCUGAUGUCUCACCUCUGCAUCAGCCAAAAUAUAACCUAAAACUCAACCCACUGCCAAAGAGAAGGCCGGUUGUCUCUGCUGCCCGGCCCAGGCACGCUGGCAGCACUCAGCCAGUGUAGUUUCUGCCUCAGGACAGAGCACACGUGGAUCUCAGACAGCAUGGACAAAGCAAAGCCUUUCUGGACCUGGGCUGGAAGAAAAGACAACUUUUAUCAGGAAAGGUGAGCCUGCUGGUCAGGAGAGCUCACCAUUAAACUCUGACAGGGCUAAGAUAAAGCCAUGUUGUUGUGCUCAAU
Molecule: long non-coding RNA, 5418 nt
Filed under: Gallus gallus (chicken)
Lineage: Eukaryota; Metazoa; Chordata; Aves; Galliformes; Phasianidae
Description: lncRNA (ENSGALG00010027769.1)
Source: RNAcentral